This 586-nucleotide long non-coding RNA is filed under the name Rattus norvegicus (Norway rat). RNAcentral's name for it is "long non-coding RNA NONRATT028926". Lineage: Eukaryota; Metazoa; Chordata; Mammalia; Rodentia; Muridae. The record is from RNAcentral.
UGGAUGGGUGGUAGACUUGUGACCCUUGCCUCAGCGUCCAGAGUGCUGGGAUUAAGAGCCUGAGUCACCAUACCCAGCUACCUCUGAUCUCCUCUGCACUCCAGACGGCAGCUCUCCUAGCUUAAACAGCCUGGAAAAGCAGCCUCUCCACACACAGGAGUUGGAUGGUUCAUGACUGGUCCUUGAGGGAAAGAUUCUAAGAAAAGGAGAGAAAGCCUCGAGAAACGCACACUUUGGACCACAGAGAAUGCUGCAGUGAGCCAGGGCUCUGCCCCAGUAAAAUAAGAAACUGAAAUCGUGUUGUACGCAAACACUGAGUGGAAACGGACGGACGAUCCUGCAGUUUGGCCGCCAGAGCUGGGACUCCUUCCAUCUGUAUCCAGGACAUUUAGGAAUUUGGACGCAUGCCACAGGAAGGUUCGCAGAGCACUUAAUCAAGUGCUCCGGAGGUUAAGUUUCAGGAAAGCUCGCUUGGAUCCAAGAUAAAGGCGGGGUGUAAAACUGAAAACAAGAGUUGCCUGGGUCACGGAGGUCCUCUGAUCUCCUCUGCGCUCUGGACGGCAGCUCUUCCAGCUUAACAGGUUGG